RNAcentral lists this non-coding RNA (92 nucleotides) under Actinoplanes sp. RNAcentral describes it as "SAH sequence". It matches the Rfam family "SAH (S-adenosyl-L-homocysteine) riboswitch aptamer". Lineage: Bacteria; Bacillati; Actinomycetota; Actinomycetes; Micromonosporales; Micromonosporaceae. RNAcentral also lists the same sequence under 1 other name. The record is from RNAcentral.
CGAGCCGAGGGGCGCUGCGACGGACCCGGAUCCCGCGGAUCUGGUCCGCCACGCUCGGCCCGGUGGUCAGACGUCAAGGGCGCCCCCUGAUG